UUUUUUUUUUUUUUUGGAGACAAAAAACUGGUAGGCCACCGCAGCCAGCUAAUGGUUUGUAUUUUUAGUAGAGACGGGGUUUUGCCACGUUGGCCAGGCUGUUCUCGAACUUCUGACCUCGGGUGAUCCGCACGCCUCGACCUCCCAAAGUGCUUGGAUUACAGGUGUGAGCCAUCUUGCCUGGCCAAAAGAUCCAUUUCUUUAGUUCCAGAAAAGUCCCUCUACCAACUCUCAUUGGUCUGGCUCAGAUCAUGGGGCCAACCCUAAGCCAAUCUCUGAUUAGCCAGACUUGGGUCCUGUUUCCAUUCCUAGAGCUGGGGAUGGGUGUGCCUCAUCUAAACCAUGCUGUCUGAAGAGCAAGGGAAUGGUUUACCACUACUACCCUGCUUGAGAAAAAAACAUUUUUUGACAGUUUAAACUGCAUCAUUGACUGCAAUGAAGAAAACUUAGAAGUUAGCAAAUCAUCUCUAAACAUUUUAAAGGAAUGAAGCAGAAAAUGUAAGACAGGCUAGUAAUUGAUCCAAAGGAGAAAUUCUGAAGGCCAGAAGAUAGGAGUCAGCUAAUACUGUAAUAAAUAAUUUAGAUAAUAUCCAUAUAGAACAACUGUAGGUCCAAUCCAUCCGAGUGCAACGCUGAAGGGACAUAUUGAUUGCAUAGGCCAGAAUGUUGGCAAAAAGCUGAUAAAUCCUGCAGGGUGCCACCUGACCACGUGCUGCAAACAAAUAACAGCUAUAGAGAGGAGAGGCUUGGUUCAAUUUCGGUCUUGACUGGUCUGAAGACUCCAGAGGCGGGACGAAUUUGCGGACAGUUCUACCCCAUCCCACAUGGCGUCAGCUUCCCUUCCAUUCUCAUGACUCCAUGGUCCAUGGCUCCAACCUGGGCCUCUGUUAGGCUGUGUCCUGUGGCACCUUAAACUCAGGCAAAUUAAAAACUGUUCGUGGACUCUACUCUGCUCCCACCUAACCCUCCAUCCAAGUCAUUGUCCAAGCCAGAAACGGGAGUCAUCUCAGAUACCUUUCCCACCCUCACCCCACAUGCAAUCGCUGGAUUCCAUUCACCUUCUAAGUGUCUCAGUUCAUUCUUCCAUCCCUCCCGCCACUGGUUUAGUUAGGCACCUCCAUUCUCACCUGGACCAUCGCUGUAGCCUCGGAGCUUCUGACUGUGUCUCUGGUUGCAGCCCCUACACGCCCUCCUCACAGGAGCAGAGCGAUCUUUCUAAACUGCGAAAUCAAAUCCUUCCAGCACCUGGAGCGAAGGCCAAGCUCCUCAGCUUAGAAGCUAGGCUGCCAGCAUGUGGAGUGGGAAUGGAAAAGUACAUCGGGGCACGAGGGGUAUUCGGAUGAGGGAAGGCCAGUAUCGGUCGCUGAGACCUUAGAGUGUUUCCGAGCUGAGGAGGAAGAUAUUCACGCGGGCAAGGGGACCCCAUCCGUGAAACAGGCCCUGGGGAGGCUGAAGGAGCGCGGCGCGAGCGAAGGCAGAGGGCGGGGCCCCGAGGCCGGCAGGCGCUGCAGUGUCGGGGGCGGCGAGUCAGCCAGGGCC
This 1539-nucleotide long non-coding RNA is filed under the name Macaca mulatta (Rhesus monkey). RNAcentral describes it as "lncRNA (ENSMMUG00000065010.1)". The record is from RNAcentral. Lineage: Eukaryota; Metazoa; Chordata; Mammalia; Primates; Cercopithecidae.